CCUACGGGUGGCAGCAGUGAGGAAUAUUGGUCAAUGGCCGGAAGGCUGAACCAGCCAUGCCGCGUGAAGGAAGAAGGUUUUCGGAUUGUAAACUGCUUUAGACAGGGAAGAAAAAAGACAGUACCUGUAGAAUAAGCUCCGGCUAACUACGUGCCAGCAGCCGCGGUAAUACGUAGGGAGCAACCGUUAUCCGGAUUGAUUGGGUGUAAAGGGUGCGUAGACGGAGAAGCAAGUUAGUUGUGAAAUCCCUCGGCUUAACUGAGGAACUGAAACUAAAACUACUUCCCUUGAGUACUGGAGAGGAAAGUGGAAUUCCUAGUGUAGCGGUGAAAUGCGUAGAUAUUAGGAGGAACACCAGUGGCGAAGGCGACUUUCUGGACAGUAACUGACGUUGAGGCACGAAAGUGUGGGGAGCAAACAGGAUUAGAUACCCGGGUAGUC
Molecule: ribosomal RNA, 441 nt
Filed under: uncultured bacterium
Lineage: Bacteria
Description: partial 16S ribosomal RNA
Rfam family: Bacterial small subunit ribosomal RNA
Source: RNAcentral